AGUCCUGUAGCUCAACCGGUAGAGCGUUAGACUCUGACUCUAAAAGUUGAAGGUUCAAAUCCUUCCGGGACUG
Molecule: transfer RNA, 73 nt
Filed under: Caudoviricetes sp.
Lineage: Duplodnaviria; Heunggongvirae; Uroviricota; Caudoviricetes
Description: tRNA-Gln
Rfam family: tRNA
About the family: Transfer RNA (tRNA) molecules are approximately 80 nucleotides in length. Their secondary structure includes four short double-helical elements and three loops (D, anti-codon, and T loops).
Source: RNAcentral